AACGAACGCUGGCGGCAGGCCUAACACAUGCAAGUCGAACGCUCGUGGCAACACGGGAGUGGCGGACGGGUGAGUAACGCGUGGGAACGUGCCCUGAGGUUGGGAAUAACUGCGGGAAACUGCAGCUAAUACCUGAUGAGCCCCGAGAGGGGAAAGAUUUAUCGCCUUGGGAGCGGCCCGCGUCGGAUUAGCUAGUUGGUGGGGUAACGGCCUACCAAGGCUUCGAUCCGUAGCUGGUCUGAGAGGACGAUCAGCCACACUGGGACUGAGACACGGCCCAGACUCCUACGGGAGGCAGCAGUGGGGAAUCUUGCGCAAUGGGGGCAACCCUGACGCAGCCAUGCCGCGUGAAUGAUGAAGGCCUUAGGGUUGUAAAGUUCUUUUGCCCGUGACGAUGAUGACGGUAACGGGAGAAUAAGCUCCGGCUAACUUCGUG
Molecule: ribosomal RNA, 436 nt
Filed under: uncultured bacterium
Lineage: Bacteria
Description: bacterial SSU rRNA
Rfam family: Bacterial small subunit ribosomal RNA
Source: RNAcentral